GAUGAAGAACGUAGCGAAAUGCGAUAAGUAAUGUGAAUUGCAGAAUUCAGUGAAUCAUCGAAUCUUUGAACGCACAUUGCGCCCGCCAGUAUUCUGGCGGGCAUGCCUGUUCGAGCGUCAUUUCAACCCUCAAGCCCCAGGCUUGUGUUGGGGACCUGCGGCUGCCGCAGGCCCUGAAAACCAGUGGCGGGCUCGCUGUCACACCGGGCGUAGUAGAUUUUAUCUCGCUCAGGGCGUGCUGCGGGUUCCGGCCGUUAAAAAGCCUUUUUUACCCAAGGUUGACCUCGGAUCAGGUAGGAAGACCCGCUGAACUUAAGCAUAUCAAUAAGCGGAGGA
RNAcentral lists this unclassified non-coding RNA (336 nucleotides) under soil metagenome. RNAcentral's name for it is "partial contains 5.8S ribosomal RNA, internal transcribed spacer 2, and large subunit ribosomal RNA". The stretch from base 1 to 120 matches the Rfam family "5.8S ribosomal RNA", at positions 35 to 154 of the family's 154-position model. The record is from RNAcentral.